Molecule: long non-coding RNA, 811 nt
Filed under: Triticum aestivum (bread wheat)
Lineage: Eukaryota; Viridiplantae; Streptophyta; Magnoliopsida; Poales; Poaceae
Description: long non-coding RNA (TAES_LNC017560)
Source: RNAcentral
CCCCCUUCCCAGAGAUCAGAAUUUUUGUUCUUGGAUUCUGCGAGUCCGAGGGACGUUGUUGGUGAUCUGCUCUGCUCUUGGACUGGAUCCGAAGAUCGGACGGCGAAGAACCCACUAAUCAACCGGUUUAUUACGGGAGAGGGGGCUGGCCGGAAGCUAAAUCAGCUUCCCGCUCCGUCCGUGUGUUCUCCCCUCCCCUGUUCUUGCUGAUCAACUUGGUUUCUCUUCUCCUCUGCUAUGUUACUGACAAAGUACUCUAUCAAGUAUGCAUGUAAAUAUUAUUUCUUGGUCGGCUGGUGAAAAUGAAGAACUCACUCCAUGCUUAAGAAUCGCUCUGUUGCUGUGCUUGUGAAUUGUUCAAUGCUUGGUUAGAUAUGUGCCAUUUUUUCGGGAUCAAACAAACUUUCAGAGCUUUAGCCAUGGACACUUGUCCAUUAAGAAAGCCAGCAAGAAAGUACCAACUGCCUUUGUGUACAAGUACAAGUACAAGGUAGGUAUUUUGCCAUCUUACGCUGUCAAAAGAAAAAUUUACAUCUGGAGACUGAGUAUGUCUAUGGACUUUUGUACCGUGUGUUCUAGUAGUUUUUGAAGAAAUCAACGUGCACAUACGCAGUUGAGUGGGUCUUUCGGCGUGCCAUUUUUACCCGGUCAGAGUCGCAGGGAAAGAACAAAUUCACCAGCACCAACCUGACAAAAAUCGAAGUAGAACAAAAUAUUGAGAUGUAGGCCUGUGCUUUGUUCUUACUCUGAAGAAAAUCUUGACCGGAGAAAAUCCCAUCAAAAUAACCACCUAUAUGUGAAAACAUCGGCC